AUACGUAGGGGGCAAGCGUUAUCCGGAUUCACUGGGUGUAAAGGGAGCGUAGACGGCAAAGCAAGUCUGAAGUGAAAGCCCCGGGCUCAACCCGGGAAUUGCUUUGGAAACUGUUUAGCUGGAGUGCAGGAGAGGUAAGCGGAAUUCCUAGUGUAGCGGUGAAAUGCGUAGAUAUUAGGAGGAACACCGGCGGCGAAGGCGGCUUACUGGACUGUAACUGACGUUGAGGCUCGAAAGCGUGGGGAGCAAACAGGAUUAGAUACCCUGGUAGUCCACGCCGUAAACGAUGAUUACUAGGUGUUGGUUGUCAUAGACAAUCGGUGCCGCAGCAAACGCAAUAAGUAAUCCACCUGGGGAGUACGUUCGCAAGAAUGAAACUUAAAGGAAUGGACGGGG
RNAcentral lists this ribosomal RNA (396 nucleotides) under uncultured bacterium. RNAcentral's name for it is "partial 16S ribosomal RNA". It matches the Rfam family "Bacterial small subunit ribosomal RNA", at positions 523 to 918 of the family's 1533-position model. The record is from RNAcentral.